AUUGAACGCUGGCGGCAUGCCUUACACAUGCAAGUCGAACGGUAACGGGCCUUCGGGUGCCGACGAGUGGCGAACGGGUGAGUAAUGUAUCGGAACGUACCUUUCAGUGGGGGAUAACGUAGCGAAAGUUACGCUAAUACCGCAUAUUCUGUGCGCAGGAAAGCAGGGGAUCGCAAGACCUUGCGCUGAUUGAGCGGCCGAUAUCAGAUUAGCUAGUUGGUGAGGUAAAGGCUCACCAAGGCGACGAUCUGUAGCGGGUCUGAGAGGAUGAUCCGCCACACUGGAACUGAGACACGGUCCAGACUCCUACGGGAGGCAGCAGUGGGGAAUAUUGCGCAAUGGGGGGAACCCUGACGCAGCGACGCCGCGUGAAGGAAGAAGGCCUUCGGGUUGUAACUUACUUUGUAUGAGGGACGAAGGAAGGUGACGGUACCGUCAAAAACAAGACCACGGCUAACUACGUGCCAGCAGCCCGCGGUAAAAGUACUCCUAU
RNAcentral lists this ribosomal RNA (493 nucleotides) under uncultured bacterium. RNAcentral describes it as "bacterial SSU rRNA". It matches the Rfam family "Bacterial small subunit ribosomal RNA", at positions 30 to 530 of the family's 1533-position model. The record is from RNAcentral.